Molecule: ribosomal RNA, 497 nt
Filed under: uncultured bacterium
Lineage: Bacteria
Description: partial 16S ribosomal RNA
Rfam family: Bacterial small subunit ribosomal RNA
Source: RNAcentral
GAUGAACGCUGGCGGCGUGCCUAAUACAUGCAAGUCGAGCGAACGGACGAGAAGCUUGCUUCUCUGAUGUUAGCGGCGGACGGGUGAGUAACACGUGGAUAACCUACCUAUAAGACUGGGAUAACUUCGGGAAACCGGAGCUAAUACCGGAUAAUAUUUUGAACCGCAUGGGUCAAAAGUGAAAGACGGUCUUGCGGUCACUUAUAGAUGGAUCCGCGCUGCAUUAGCUAGUUGGUAAGGUAACGGCUUACCAAGGCAACGAUGCAUAGCCGACCUGAGAGGGUGAUCGGCCACACUGGAACUGAGACACGUUCCAGACUCCUACGGGAGGCAGCAGUAGGGACUCUUCCGCAAUGGGCGAAAGCCUGACGGAGCAACGCCGCGUGAGUGAUGAAGGUCUUCGGAUCGUAAAACUCUGUUAUUAGGGAAGAACAUAUGUGUAAGUAACUGUGCACAUCUUGACGGUACCUAAUCAGAAAGCCACGGCUAACUACGUG